AUAAGACAGGGGAGAGAAGAAAAGUAAAACCACCCCUCAAAAGAAAGUGGAAGUUGAAACUAGGGUAGCACCCCUCCACAGAUGUCGUUCUCUAUGUUCCUCGAAGCCGCAAGAAAGAACAAAUGUCACUGAGUUGUCCUAUGAGGUUUGAACUAAAGAAGGGAGCUAAAAUGUAUAUGCCCAAGGGUACCUACAUGAUGCGGG
RNAcentral lists this long non-coding RNA (204 nucleotides) under Nicotiana benthamiana. RNAcentral's name for it is "long non-coding RNA (NBEN_LNC003449)". Lineage: Eukaryota; Viridiplantae; Streptophyta; Magnoliopsida; Solanales; Solanaceae. The record is from RNAcentral.